GACGGAGGAUGCAAGUGUUAUCCGGAAUCACUGGGCGUAAAGCGUCUGUAGGUGGUCAAAUAAGUCAACUGUUAAAUCUUGAGGCUCAACCUCAAAACCGCAGUCGAAACUAUUAGACUAGAGUAUAGUAGGGGUAAAGGGAAUUUCCAGUGGAGCGGUGAAAUGCGUAGAGAUUGGAAAGAACACCGAUGGCGAAGGCACUUUACUGGGCUAUUACUAACACUCAGAGACGGAAGCUAGGGUAGCAAAUGGG
This 253-nucleotide ribosomal RNA is filed under the name uncultured bacterium. Its description in RNAcentral is "partial 16S ribosomal RNA". It matches the Rfam family "Bacterial small subunit ribosomal RNA", at positions 524 to 776 of the family's 1533-position model. The record is from RNAcentral.